Molecule: ribosomal RNA, 492 nt
Filed under: uncultured bacterium
Lineage: Bacteria
Description: partial 16S ribosomal RNA
Rfam family: Bacterial small subunit ribosomal RNA
Source: RNAcentral
AGUGAACGCUGGCGGUAGGCCUAACACAUGCAAGUCGAACGGCAGCACAGUAAGAGCUUGCUCUUACGGGUGGCGAGUGGCGGACGGGUGAGGAAUACAUCGGAAUCUACUUUUUCGUGGGGAAUAACGUAGGGAAACUUACGCUAAUACCGCAUACGACCUACGGGUGAAAGCAGGGGAUCUUCGGACCUUUCGCGAUUGAAUGAGCCGAUGUCGGAUUAGCUAGUUGGCUGGGUAAAGGCCCACCAAGGCGACGAUCCGUAGCUGGUCUGAGAGGAUGAUCAGCCACACUGGAACUGAGACACGGUCCAGACUCCUACGGGAGGCAGCAGUGGGGAAUAUUGGACAAUGGGCGCAAGCCUGAUCCAGCCAUACCGCGUGGGUGAAGAAGGCCUUCGGGUUGUAAAGCCCUUUUGUUGGGAAAGAAAAGCAGCAGGUUAAUACCCCGCUGUUCUGACGGUACCCAAAGAAUAAGCACCGGCUAACUUCGUG